Molecule: ribosomal RNA, 588 nt
Filed under: Hypocopra rostrata
Lineage: Eukaryota; Fungi; Ascomycota; Sordariomycetes; Xylariales; Xylariaceae
Description: partial large subunit ribosomal RNA
Rfam family: Eukaryotic large subunit ribosomal RNA
Source: RNAcentral
GUUGACCUCGGAUCAGGUAGGAAUACCCGCUGAACUUAAGCAUAUCAAUAAGCGGAGGAAAAGAAACCAACAGGGAUUGCCCUAGUAACGGCGAGUGAAGCGGCAACAGCUCAAAUUUGAAAUCUGGCCUUCGGGUCCGAGUUGUAAUUUGUAGAGGAUGCUUUUGGCGCGGUGCCUUCCGAGUUCCCUGGAACGGGACGCCUUAGAGGGUGAGAGCCCCGUACGGUUGGACACCAAGCCUCUGUAAAGCUCCUUCGACGAGUCGAGUAGUUUGGGAAUGCUGCUCUAAAUGGGAGGUAAAUUUCUUCUAAAGCUAAAUAUUGGCCAGAGACCGAUAGCGCACAAGUAGAGUGAUCGAAAGAUGAAAAGCACUUUGAAAAGAGGGUUAAAUAGCACGUGAAAUUGUUGAAAGGGAAGCGUUUGCGACCAGACCUUUUCCUGGCGGAUCAUCCGGUGUUCUCACCGGUGCACUUCGCCAGGUUGAGGCCAGCAUCGGUUUCUGCAGGGGGAUAAAAGCUCUGGGAAUGUAGCUCCUUCGGGAGUGUUAUAGCCCUCUGCAUAAUACCCUUGCGGGGACCGAGGACCGCG